Camelus ferus (Wild Bactrian camel) is the source of this 24-nucleotide regulatory RNA element. It matches the Rfam family "Iron response element I", at positions 7 to 30 of the family's 36-position model. The record is from Rfam. NCBI's taxonomy places the organism in Eukaryota, Metazoa, Chordata, Mammalia, Artiodactyla, Camelidae.
CUUGCUUCAACAGUGUUUGGACGG